This 377-nucleotide ribosomal RNA is filed under the name uncultured bacterium. RNAcentral's name for it is "bacterial SSU rRNA". It matches the Rfam family "Bacterial small subunit ribosomal RNA", at positions 28 to 405 of the family's 1533-position model. The record is from RNAcentral.
GAUGAACGCUAGCGGCAGGCCUAAUACAUGCAAGUCGAGGGGCAGCACGGUAGCAAUACUGGUGGCGACCGGCGCACGGGUGCGUAACACGUAUACAAUCUGCCUUUAACAGGGGGAUAGCCUUUCGAAAGAGAGAUUAAUACCCCAUAACAGUUUGACUGGCAUCAGUUGAAUUUGAAAGCUCCGGCGGUUAAAGAUGAGUACGCGUUUGAUUAGCUAGUAGGUGAGGUAACGGCUCACCUAGGCGACGAUCAAUAGGGGAUCUGAGAGGAUUAACCCCCACACGGAUACUGAGACACGGACUCGACUCCUACGGGAGGCAGCAGUAAGGAAUAUUGGACAAUGCCCGCAAGGGUGAUCCAGCCAUGCCGCGUGCA